CUCUAUACUACAGUCAUGGUGACCCUCAAUAUUUACAUCAGUCUACAUUCUUUUGUAGCCUUAUUUAAUCAAAUGUUUAAAAAAAAUGUAAUAAAUUGUUUGAAA
Molecule: long non-coding RNA, 105 nt
Organism: Alosa sapidissima (American shad)
Lineage: Eukaryota; Metazoa; Chordata; Actinopteri; Clupeiformes; Clupeidae
Exons: 3
Source: RefSeq, a predicted model, not a curated record